ACCUGUGUGGCGGAACGGUAGACGCGUUAGACUUAAGAUCUGAUCUCUUUUAAGGGGUGGGGGUUCAAGUCCCUCCACAGGUA
RNAcentral lists this transfer RNA (83 nucleotides) under Ceratocystis platani. It matches the Rfam family "tRNA". From Rfam's summary of the family: Transfer RNA (tRNA) molecules are approximately 80 nucleotides in length. Their secondary structure includes four short double-helical elements and three loops (D, anti-codon, and T loops). Lineage: Eukaryota; Fungi; Ascomycota; Sordariomycetes; Microascales; Ceratocystidaceae. The record is from Rfam by way of RNAcentral.